GGAUUGUAGCUUAGUGGUAGAGCACAUGCCUUGUCUGAGUGAGGUCCUGGGUUCAAUCCUCAGCACCA
RNAcentral lists this transfer RNA (68 nucleotides) under Marmota monax (woodchuck). RNAcentral's name for it is "tRNA.Thr". The record is from RNAcentral. Lineage: Eukaryota; Metazoa; Chordata; Mammalia; Rodentia; Sciuridae.